RNAcentral lists this ribosomal RNA (254 nucleotides) under uncultured bacterium. Its description in RNAcentral is "partial 16S ribosomal RNA". It matches the Rfam family "Bacterial small subunit ribosomal RNA", at positions 524 to 777 of the family's 1533-position model. The record is from RNAcentral.
UACGAAGGUUGCAAGCGUUACUCGGAAUUACUAGGCGUAAAGGGCAGGUAGGUGGUUUGGUAAGUCUAUUGUGAAAGCUCCCGGCUUAACUGGGAGAGGCCAAUGGAUACUGCCAAGCUUGAGUAUAGGAGAGGUUACUGGAAUUCCCGGUGUAGCGGUGAAAUGCGCAGAUAUCGGGAGGAACACCAAUGGCGAAAGCAGGUAACUGGACUAUUACUGACACUCAACUGCGAAAGCUAGGGGAGCAAACAGGG